GAUGAACGCUGGCGGCGUGCCUAAUACAUGCAAGUCGAGCGAACGGACGAGAAGCUUGCUUCUCUGAUGUUAGCGGCGGACGGGUGAGUAACACGUGGAUAACCUACCUAUAAGACUGGGAUAACUUCGGGAAACCGGAGCUAAUACCGGAUGAUAUUUUGAACCGCAUGGUUCAAAAGUGAAAGACGGUCUUGCUGUCACUUAUAGAUGGAUCCGCGCUGCAUUAGCUAGUUGGUAAGGUAACGGCUUACCAAGGCAACGAUGCAUAGCCGACCUGAGAGGGUGAUCGGCCACACUGGAACUGAGACACGGUCCAGACUCCUACGGGAGGCAGCAGUAGGGAAUCUUCCGCAAUGGGCGAAAGCCUGACGGAGCAACGCCGCGUGAGUGAUGAAGGUCUUCGGAUCGUAAAACUCUGUUAUUAGGGAAGAACGUAUGUGUAAGUAACUGUGCACAUCUUGACGGUACCUAAUCAGAAAGCCACGGCUAACUACGUGCCAGCAGCCGCGGUAAUACGUAGGUGGCAAGCGUUAUCCGGAAUUAUUGGGCGUAAAGCGCGCGUAGGCGGUUUUUUAAGUCUGAUGUGAAAGCCCACGGCUCAACCGUGGAGGGUCAUUGGAAACUGGAAAACUUGAGUGCAGAAGAGGAAAGUGGAAUUCCAUGUGUAGCGGUGAAAUGCGCAGAGAUAUGGAGGAACACCAGUGGCGAAGGCGACUUUCUGGUCUGUAACUGACGCUGAUGUGCGAAAGCGUGGGGAUCAAACAGGAUUAGAUACCCUGGUAGUCCACGCCGUAAACGAUGAGUGCUAAGUGUUAGGGGGUUUCCGCCCCUUAGUGCUGCAGCUAACGCAUUAAGCACUCCGCCUGGGGAGUACGACCGCAAGGUUGAAACUCAAAGGAAUUGACGGGGACCCGCACAAGCGGUGGAGCAUGUGGUUUAAUUCGAAGCAACGCGAAGAACCUUACCAAUCUUGACAUCCUUUGACAACUCUAGAGAUAGAGCCUUCCCCUUCGGGGGACAAAGUGACAGGUGGUGCAUGGUUGUCGUCAGCUCGUGUCGUGAGAUGUUGGGUUAAGUCCCGCAACGAGCGCAACCCUUAAGCUUAGUUGCCAUCAUUAAGUUGGGCACUCUAAGUUGACUGCCGGUGACAAACCGGAGGAAGGUGGGGAUGACGUCAAAUCAUCAUGCCCCUUAUGAUUUGGGCUACACACGUGCUACAAUGGACAAUACAAAGGGCAGCGAAACCGCGAGGUCAAGCAAAUCCCAUAAAGUUGUUCUCAGUUCGGAUUGUAGUCUGCAACUCGACUACAUGAAGCUGGAAUCGCUAGUAAUCGUAGAUCAGCAUGCUACGGUGAAUACGUUCCCGGGUCU
RNAcentral lists this ribosomal RNA (1371 nucleotides) under uncultured bacterium. RNAcentral describes it as "bacterial SSU rRNA". It matches the Rfam family "Bacterial small subunit ribosomal RNA", at positions 28 to 1381 of the family's 1533-position model. The record is from RNAcentral.